AAAUUGAAGAGUUUGAUCAUGGCUCAGAUUGAACGCUGGCGGCAGGCCUAACACAUGCAAGUCGAACGGUAACAGGAAGCAGCUUGCUGCUUUGCUGACGAGUGGCGGACGGGUGAGUAAUGUCUGGGAAACUGCCUGAUGGAGGGGGAUAACUACUGGAAACGGUGGCUAAUACCGCAUAACGUCGCAAGACCAAAGAGGGGGACCUUCGGGCCUCUUGCCAUCAGAUGUGCCCAGAUGGGAUUAGCUUGUUGGUGAGGUAACGGCUCACCAAGGCGACGAUCCCUAGCUGGUCUGAGAGGAUGACCAGCCACACUGGAACUGAGACACGGUCCAGACUCCUACGGGAGGCAGCAGUGGGGAAUAUUGCACAAUGGGCGCAAGCCUGAUGCAGCCAUGCCGCGUGUAUGAAGAAGGCCUUCGGGUUGUAAAGUACUUUCAGCGGGGAGGAAGGUGUUGUGGUUAAUAACCGCAGCAAUUGACGUUACCCGCAGAAGAAGCACCGGCUAACUCCGUGCCAGCAGCCGCGGUAAUACGGAGGGUGCAAGCGUUAAUCGGAAUUACUGGGCGUAAAGCGCACGCAGGCGGUCUGUCAAGUCGGAUGUGAAAUCCCCGGGCUCAACCUGGGAACUGCAUUCGAAACUGGCAGGCUUGAGUCUUGUAGAGGGGGGUAGAAUUCCAGGUGUAGCGGUGAAAUGCGUAGAGAUCUGGAGGAAUACCGGUGGCGAAGGCGGCCCCUGGACAAAGACUGACGCUCAGGUGCGAAAGCGUGGGGAGCAAACAGGAUUAGAUACCCUGGUAGUCCACGCCGUAAACGAUGUCUACUUGGAGGUUGUGCCCUUGAGGCGUGGCUUCCGGAGCUAACGCGUUAAGUAGACCGCCUGGGGAGUACGGCCGCAAGGUUAAAACUCAAAUGAAUUGACGGGGGCCCGCACAAGCGGUGGAGCAUGUGGUUUAAUUCGAUGCAACGCGAAGAACCUUACCUGGUCUUGACAUCCACAGAACUUUCCAGAGAUGGAUUGGUGCCUUCGGGAACUGUGAGACAGGUGCUGCAUGGCUGUCGUCAGCUCGUGUUGUGAAAUGUUGGGUUAAGUCCCGCAACGAGCGCAACCCUUAUCCUUUGUUGCCAGCGGUCCGGCCGGGAACUCAAAGGAGACUGCCAGUGAUAAACUGGAGGAAGGUGGGGAUGACGUCAAGUCAUCAUGGCCCUUACGACCAGGGCUACACACGUGCUACAAUGGCGCAUACAAAGAGAAGCGACCUCGCGAGAGCAAGCGGACCUCAUAAAGUGCGUCGUAGUCCGGAUUGGAGUCUGCAACUCGACUCCAUGAAGUCGGAAUCGCUAGUAAUCGUGGAUCAGAAUGCCACGGUGAAUACGUUCCCGGGCCUUGUACACACCGCCCGUCACACCAUGGGAGUGGGUUGCAAAAGAAGUAGGUAGCUUAACCUUCGGGAGGGCGCUUACCACUUUGUGAUUCAUGACUGGGGUGAAGUCGUAACAAGGUAACCGUAGGGGAACCUGCGGUUGGAUCACCUCCUUACCUUAAAGAA
This 1551-nucleotide ribosomal RNA is filed under the name Salmonella enterica subsp. enterica serovar Javiana str. CFSAN001992. RNAcentral describes it as "bacterial SSU rRNA". It matches the Rfam family "Bacterial small subunit ribosomal RNA". The record is from RNAcentral. Lineage: Bacteria; Pseudomonadati; Pseudomonadota; Gammaproteobacteria; Enterobacterales; Enterobacteriaceae.